UACGUAGGGUGCGAGCGUUAAUCGGAAUUACUGGGCGUAAAGCGUGCGCAGGCGGUUUUUGUAAGCCAGGUGUGAAAUCCCCGGGCUCAACCUGGGAAUGGCAUUUGGGACUGCAAGGCUGGAGUGCGGCAGAGGAGACUGGAAUUCCUGGUGUAGCAGUGAAAUGCGUAGAUAUCAGGAGGAACACCGAUGGCGAAGGCAGGUCUCUGGGCUGA
Molecule: ribosomal RNA, 215 nt
Filed under: uncultured bacterium
Lineage: Bacteria
Description: partial 16S ribosomal RNA
Rfam family: Bacterial small subunit ribosomal RNA
Source: RNAcentral